CAGUAAGACAUUGUCUUCAGAGUAAAAUUAAUGUUGAGUCUAUCAAGGGAAGGAUUUCAAUCUUUACGAUGAUAUUGUCAGUUCUUUACGGUGAUUUGAAUGUUAUUCCACUGUUAAAAAGGGUACCACUUACUUGGGGUUGUCAACCUCGAAAAAUGUGAAGUUGUACGAAAUUUUGACUUUUUUCGAAAAUUUCUGGGUUUUAACUACUAUUCGCAUUUUUUCAAAUUCAAUGCAAAUAUUUUAGAAAAAUAACCCCGAAAUUUUUGGGCUGUAUCCCAGAAAUUUCAGGGUUUGUUAUAAAGAGAAGAUAUUUUCGAAGAAACGACGCAGGUAGGCUAUAGGGCUGUUCGACAUCUUUUUUAAGAUUUGUUGAAAUCGUGAAACGCAGCAACUCAUGUAUUUUUUCGUCUGCUACGAGUGACUUGUGUAGUUCUGCGAAAUAUAAAUUUUUUUAAAAAACAGUGAUAGAAAAGGGGGUUGUUUUGAAGUUCUGAUGUGUUUUCUUUAUAUAUUAGUUCGUUAUAGUGUUAGUGUUUAACUAUGUCACUGUCUAAUUAUGCCAGUGGACUUAGUAUUGAGGCCAAAACACGUUAUUUGGAAAAGUUACAAAUGUUUAACAGUGAUUGUCCAUAUUGUAUUCCUAAUUCUCUGUGGAAACAUGGUUUAGACUGUUGUCCAAUUGUUCCAAAAAUUGCUCCCUCAGAUAUCUUCAUAUAUCUUGUUGAAACAAAAAGCUAUCAAAAUCAUAUUCCAUCUAUGAUGUAAUUCUUAUUUCUUUUGCAGGUUCUCAGUGACUACGACUCGAGUGUCCUUUGUGUCUGUUACCCUCAGAUUCUGCCUCCUGAAAUUUACAACAUUUUAUGGGAUCAAAUUCUUCGUGCCUGUUACCAUACUCUACUUGACGGAUUUUCCGCUGUAAGAAAAUGCACGAACGAAGGUCGUGCACUAAUGCAGUUAGACUUCAGGCAUUUUCAAGUCAAAGUGGAAAGCUUGACACGUCUAAGACCUCUUACUGACCCACAUAUUGUCGAAACAUACAUAAAGGCAUAUUAUUUACCUGAAAAUUCUUUCGAAAAAUGGAUUCAAGAACAAACGGAAUAUACUCCUAGGCAGAUGAUGAAUCUUCUUCAAUACGUAAGUCAAGGCAGUAAAAAGAUUCGGCUGAACUUAACUUCCUUCAUGGAAGAUUUAGAUUUGAAUCGUCGAUAAAGAUCUUUGUUAUGAUUCAAGUGAUGAAAUUUUUGUAAAUUGAGAAAUAUACAUGACAUUCCAUUA
Daphnia magna is the source of this 1278-nucleotide long non-coding RNA. RefSeq lists it as uncharacterized. The record is from RefSeq and is a predicted model, not a curated record. The transcript has 3 exons. Lineage: Eukaryota; Metazoa; Arthropoda; Branchiopoda; Diplostraca; Daphniidae.